This 72-nucleotide transfer RNA is filed under the name Caudoviricetes sp. RNAcentral describes it as "tRNA-Thr". It matches the Rfam family "tRNA". From Rfam's summary of the family: Transfer RNA (tRNA) molecules are approximately 80 nucleotides in length. Their secondary structure includes four short double-helical elements and three loops (D, anti-codon, and T loops). Lineage: Duplodnaviria; Heunggongvirae; Uroviricota; Caudoviricetes. The record is from RNAcentral.
UGGAAUGUAGCUCAGUGGUAGAGCAAUGGCCUUGUAAGCUAUGUGUCGCAGGUUCGAUUCCUGCCUUUUCGA